This is a long non-coding RNA of Uranotaenia lowii, 593 nucleotides long. RefSeq lists it as uncharacterized. The transcript is spliced from 4 exons. Lineage: Eukaryota; Metazoa; Arthropoda; Insecta; Diptera; Culicidae. The record is from RefSeq and is a predicted model, not a curated record.
UGACCGUUUUGGAGAACGGAAGUGCGCGUCGUGUUAAAUAGAUUAAAACAACAAAAAGUAGUACAGAAAAGUUAAAACAGUGAUCGAAAAAUCGUAAAGCGAUCAAAUAAAAACACAAAAAAAGUACGUUACCUAAACAAAACGUUAACAAACAUACAACAAACAUUGUAACAAAAGUGUGACGAAAAACAACAUAAAAAGGUCCAAGAGGGCCUUUUUUUUGUUCUUUUGGCUUUUCUAUCAGAGCACGGCGCCCCGGAGUAUUGUUACUGAAUCCCAAAACCGGAGUAAUCCAGACAGAAAGGAAUUGUCUGACACCGCUUCAGACCCGACGGCAAAAGGUCUACCGACAACAGCAUCAUCGGAAAUUGGCCAGUAGUUUUCAACUGUCGUUUAUUGGUCCUUCCGGGACGCCGGAAGUGGACCGGUGAAACAUUGGCCUGUUCCGAACCUACGAAGCUGCUCGCCGUGAAUCAACAAAAUGACCGCUGAAAACAACCAUACAUCGGGUUCCGCGGCCUUGACUAACGCCGCUGUGCCAGCAAUAGAACGAACCGCAAGUAUAGAUAAGCUAAAAACCUGUGACGUCAGUA